This 222-nucleotide ribosomal RNA is filed under the name uncultured Lactobacillus sp. Its description in RNAcentral is "partial 16S ribosomal RNA". It matches the Rfam family "Bacterial small subunit ribosomal RNA", at positions 144 to 354 of the family's 1533-position model. Lineage: Bacteria; Bacillati; Bacillota; Bacilli; Lactobacillales; Lactobacillaceae. The record is from RNAcentral.
CAACCCUCGGAAACGAAGAUGCUAAUAACACGGAUAACAACAGAUGAUGCCUAUCAACUGUUUAAAAGAUGGUUCUGCUAUCACUCUUGGAUGGACCUGCGGUGCAUUAGCUAGUUGGUAGGGUAACGGCCUACCAAGGCGAUGAUGCAUAGCCGAGUUGAGAGACUGAUCGGCCACAUUGGGACUGAGACACGGCCCAAACUCCUACGGGAGGCAGCAGAG